This 2613-nucleotide ribosomal RNA is filed under the name Triticum aestivum (bread wheat). RNAcentral's name for it is "partial small subunit ribosomal RNA". The record is from RNAcentral. Lineage: Eukaryota; Viridiplantae; Streptophyta; Magnoliopsida; Poales; Poaceae.
UCCCGCGUCGCUCGCCUUCCGUUCAACGUAGGUUGCGGCCUCUCCUCAUGGAUUCUCCUCCUCUGUUCGCCCCCUCGUGUCUCCUCACGUGAGUGCUUCUGUUGGUGAUGGUUGCGGGUCGUCGAGCUGCGGUGGGCUGGUGCUGCUUAUGGUAUCCCACUAUCCUGUGCCUCUCGCCCUGUGCUUCAUGAGCGGAGGAGGGGUGGUGCUGGCCGUGGACUAGCUGGAUAGCAUAAACUCUCCCUUGUUUUUUUGUGUUUGAAUCAGAUUUGGUGGCUCUCAAUUUUACAUAUGUAUUGAUCUUGGACUUGUUUUGUAUGCAGGGUACACUUGAUGUUUCAUGAUCUGUUCUGCAGAUUUUCAGAACAAUGAGUGCAUAUCUUGGCUUGCAAUGUUGUUGAUUCGACAAAUGUCAUGGAACCUGACAGGUGAGUGCUCCUCUCCCCUUUUCCUCUCUGCUAAAAUUCAGUUCCAAGUUCGCCCAUAUGGAUAUCUUGAUUGAAAUUUGCAGCUCGUUUCUGUCGGACUCGAUGACCGCAUAUGAGCGAACUUGUCCUUCAGAAAUAGUAGGUGAUACUUAUUAUGAUUCAAGAUAUCACCACAUAGACGGCACAGACUAUAAUCAUGAAUAUUUCCCAUUGGCUUCAACGAUUUGGAAGAAUAUUUUUGACAUGAUCUGACGGUUGAUACUUUGGUUCAGGAACUGGCUUUAGACUGGACUUGCGGCUAGAGUAACCCCGAGCAAGCUGAGCUCAAUUGAAAUAUGUAUUCUAAAUUCUGAAGGCAAGCACACGCCCGACACUUUUGCACUUGUAAAAGGCAUGUCGUUUGAAUCAUGCGAAUAAGCGUACGGAUAGUACAAGCUAUUCACUUGGGAGAAUAGUUUCAGAAUUUGUCAUGGAAAACCAAGAUGGGGAGGUGCACAUCACCAGUUGAUGCACAAAAUCGUGUGCUGGUGCCAGGGUAAGAGGGAAAAAGAGAAUUUUUUUUUCGUGCAAAACAGAGUGCAAGGCAAGGAUGCGUCUCCUCCGCACGGCAGAUCAUGGUUGAUAGGUGAGCAUAUUCAGCAACGAGCAUAAUCACCCCUUGUGUGCAAGUCGUGAAGAGACCAGGCAGUGGAACUCACAUAGUGAGGUCAAUCCAGUUCUUAUGAAUUUCAUCAAGAAUCUCAAAAAACGAAGAAAAAACAAUGGGGGCAUCCUCACGAGAUUGAAGGCUACAAAAUUUAUACAAGCGCAAUAUAGAAAAAGUUUGAAGAUGAGUUUUACAAAUCAAUGUCCUUGGUUUUGUGUAGGUGCAUCAGUGAAACUGAAUAUGAAGUUAUGCAUGUGUGCCAAAUAUUUGACCAAACUUGAAGCUAGGCCCUACAUAACAAGUUUAAAGGAUCAUGCAAUUGUGGAUAUUUAGAUCAUAUGGGAAUGUUUAUGCCGACAUUCUAUAAAGGUGAUUGGCAUCUACUAUAAGUCGAUAAAUGAUGCUUUGUUGGUUGCUGCACAACGACAAGAUGAUCGCAUCCCAGCUACUUUGUAUGUAUAAGAUUUGCUACUUCUUGGUCAAUGUUGAUGAGAUGAACUGCUAACUAAGUGUGUUGCCACGGGCCGUUCCAUGCCGAAGGCUGCAACGCCAUGUUUCUUUAUGCUUGUAUCAUGUGCAUCCACAACUCGUAACACUGGUUGUUUCAGGCCCUAAAUAAGCACAUACACUUCAAAAAUUGUCAUGGACUCAUGGCCGUGGACUUAAAAGUGUUUUUGCCAUGUCUGGUAGCUAGGAGGAAUUACAUCAAAGAGCUCGUUAUUUUGCUUUCACGUAUAUGUUAACCAGGUCAUAUCACAAUGACCAUCAAGUCUCAAGUUCAAGCUAUUUGAUUUAGAUUGUGCCAUGCAUAAGUGAAUAUUGUUUUGCAUAGGAAAAUAAGAUUGUAAAUGUAUAUUAUUUGCCUCCAUCAAAUUUAUGAAAUGACAAUCCUUUAUUCGGAAGAACAAGUGAAUACAUAGAUCAAAACAUCUUAAAAUUGGUGACAAAUUAGCGGUUGUUUCCUUUUAUUUAUUGCCUUAUUUCUGGUAUAUGUACCUUCAUUGUGAAAUAUAACAUGACGUACCUUGUCAUUAACUUUCUUUAAUGGGAACUACUUAUAUUUGAUAUUCAUCAUAAACAAAUUCUGAAGGUACUGAAAUCUGUGUACUGAAUUUUGAUUGUGAGUUGGAUGUGUCCUUGAUUGCAGUGAUGGGAUUUGAUUCGAUAAGUGAAGAUAGUGGGUGGAGGAAUAAGAAGAAAAGUCAUUUAAUGAUAUAAUUGAGAAGCUAACAAAGCGGGUUGAUAUACACUAGGAUCCUAAUUUACAUGUUUGACGUAGUUAGUCAACCCGUGUCACUGCCAUAGGUAUAGGGAAAAGACGAUCUAGGAGGUGGCAUCAAGUAAGUGAGUUAGGAAGUAACUAUCAUGUAGGUUGUAUGCAUAACAAAAGGCUGAAUAGGUUAGUAGAUUUGUGUAUGAAAAUAUGAGUAGCACUGUGUGGUGCUUAGACUUCUGAAUUUCUUAAAAAAAAAUUGUCUCUACUUCGUAUAAUGUGCUAUGUUAAUGUAGCUACAGCAUCACAGAAACAUUCUAGCUGCC